This 640-nucleotide ribosomal RNA is filed under the name uncultured archaeon. Its description in RNAcentral is "bacterial SSU rRNA". It matches the Rfam family "Archaeal small subunit ribosomal RNA", at positions 175 to 817 of the family's 1478-position model. The record is from RNAcentral.
AGGCUUUCAUACCGAAAUCCUGCGAGGCUCGAGGAUGGGUCUGCGGCCUAUCAGGUAGUAGGGGGUAUCACGGACCCCCUAGCCGAAGACGGGUACGGGCUUUGGGAGAAGUCGCCCGGAGAUGGAUUCUGAGACACGAAUCCAGGUCCUACGGGACGCAGCAGGCGCGAAACCUCCACAAUGUGGGAAACCACGAUGGGGGAACUCCAAGUGCCUACACUUAGUGUAGGCUGUUCUCGAGCCUAAAAAGCUCGAGAAGUAAGGGCCGGGUAAGACGGGUGCCAGCCGCCGCGGUAAUACCCGCGGCCCGAGUGGUGCUCAUUAUUAUUGAGCCUAAAGCGUCCGUAGCUGGCCGGACAAAUCUCCGGGUAAAUCGGGCCGCCCAACGGUCCGAAUUCCGGAGACACUGUUCGGCUUGGGAUCGGGAGAGGGUGAAGGUACUCCCGGGGUAGGGGUAAAAUCCUGUAAUCCGGGGGGGACCACCAGUGGCGAAGGCGUUCACCUAGAACGAAUCCGACAGUGAGGGACGAAGCCCUAGGGCGCAAACGGGAUUAGAUACCCCGGUAGUCUAGGGUGUAAACUCUGCAGACUUGGUGUUGGGGGUCCUGCGUGGGCUUCCAGUGCCGGAGCGAAGGUGUUA